This is a non-coding RNA of Arachis ipaensis, 1330 nucleotides long. NCBI's taxonomy places the organism in Eukaryota, Viridiplantae, Streptophyta, Magnoliopsida, Fabales, Fabaceae. The record is from RefSeq and is a predicted model, not a curated record.
UGGUUUUUUGAUUAUUAUUUUAUCUUCCUAAUUAUUUUAUGAAAUUAUACUACUAACCCUAUUUUUAAUGAAAAUACCUAAACUACCCCUAAACCCUAACACUACACUCAUCUCUCUCACCCAAUCCCCCACCCACGGCUCACACGCUUAGCACACACCUCACUCUUCCUCACCAACACACACAGACACGGUUUUGUGAGUGGAAACAAGAAAGAAAGGGAAGAGGGGGAAAUAGAAUCGGGGAAAGGGGUAAAAGAGAGGAAGCGUCGAGGGGGUGAGGGAGAAGAAAGGGAGCUGCCGCCUCCUACCGAUCCGCCGAAUCUUCCACGCCUUGCUGCCCAGCUUGCCGUCGCGCCAGCCACCCACGCCGGAGGAGAGAGAGAUCGACAGAGAGAGACGCAAAGAGGGAGAAGGAUUUGCGUCGCUGCAGCCAUCCAUGCCGUCGUCGCCGAGGGAAGCCAGCGCCACCACCGCGUCACCGUCGCCACCAUCUAUCGCGCCACAACCACACUGCGUCGCCGUCGAGAACAGAGACGCAAAGGAGAGGAGACCGCGGGUCAUUGUCCUCGAAGCUUUCGUCGUCACCGUGCAGAGCUGCUGCCAUCGCCAUCAUCGCAGGCUGCUGCUGCGCGUGUGAUCGUCGCCGCCUCUGGGUCCGUCACCGUCGAGCAGAGCCGCCGGGGAGAAUCGUAGCUGUCGCCAAAGCUCCAGUCGCCGUCAGAAGCUGCUGGUGACACCUAUCUGCAUGUGCAGUCACCGUUGGGAUCCUCUGCCACCGUUCGGGUCACUGGGAACGUGGCUGUGAUCACCGAAACCACCAUCGGAGUUACCACUGUUUCAGUUCAGCCGUCCUUCCUUGUUUGGGAUCGAGUUACGGGUCUUGCAUGCUGGGUUCUAAGACGGUUGCAUGCGACAUCAAGCUGCUGCAUCAUCAUCGGAGUUGCCACUGCUAUGUUCUCUGGCUUAUUGGUAAGUAUAGUAAGUUGUUCCUCGUCCCGAACCUCUAUGGAUUCUAUUCUAUUAUAUGUUUCUAAGGUUCUUGCAACGUUAAUGCUUUAGGUUUGAGUUCGGUUCUUACGUGCCGUGAUUAAAGUUGCUGUGGUUGAGGUUGUGUUGUUGCGGGCUGUGAGAAAAAGAGUUUCUGUCGCGUGGUUAAGUCGUAUUCGAGGUAGGGGCCUUUUCAAAGAACUUAAUUUUAUGAUUUGGAGUUGUUAUAAAUGGAUAUUAAUGUGAUAAAUGUACUUUUGGUGGUUGUAUAAGCCUUAUGUAUUGCUGGGCCGUUUUGUGAUGAACGUAUUUAUGGUUGGAUUGGAUUGUUGUUUGAUUUGGU